This 468-nucleotide ribosomal RNA is filed under the name uncultured bacterium. RNAcentral describes it as "partial 16S ribosomal RNA". It matches the Rfam family "Bacterial small subunit ribosomal RNA", at positions 28 to 507 of the family's 1533-position model. The record is from RNAcentral.
GACGAACGCUGGCGGCGUGCUUAACACAUGCAAGUCGAAUGGAAAGGCCCUGCUUUUGUGGGGUGCUCGAGUGGCGAACGGGUGAGUAACACGUGAGUAACCUGCCCUUGACUUUGGGAUAACUUCAGGAAACUGGGGCUAAUACCGGUUAGGGGCUCCGCCGCCAGGGUGGGGGUUGGAAGGUUUCGGCGGUUGGGGAUGGACUCGCGGCUUAUCAGCUUGUUGGUGGGGUAGUGGCUUACCAAGGCUUUGACGGGUAGCCGGCCUGAGAGGGUGACCGGCCACAUUGGGACUGAGAUACGGCCCAGACUCCUACGGGAGGCAGCAGUGGGGAAUAUUGCACAAUGGGCGGAAGCCUGAUGCAGCAACGCCGCGUGCGGGAUGACGGCCUUCGGGUUGUAAACCGCUUUCGCCUGUGACGAAGCGUGAGUGACGGUAAUGGGUAAAGAAGCACCGGCUAACUACGUG